Lingula anatina is the source of this 1516-nucleotide long non-coding RNA. RefSeq lists it as uncharacterized. NCBI's taxonomy places the organism in Eukaryota, Metazoa, Brachiopoda, Lingulata, Lingulida, Lingulidae. The record is from RefSeq and is a predicted model, not a curated record.
AGCAGUCCUUCUAAAAUCUCGCAGAAUCUCGCUCACGGCUUUACACCAGAGUUUAACAUGGAGCGUGUGCACGCGUCGCUGACAGUGAACCAACUCAAACGCAAUUUACUUGAAUGUGGUGCCAUAACAUCUGGAUGAAAAUGUGAAUUGACUGGAAGGUUACCCAAAGAAGGCCCAUAUAUCGGGGGCAAAGCCUGAAACUGUCGAUUUCAGGACCCCAGGACAGCCAACUUCAAGAGCAGGAUAAAAUGAUUACUUCAGGAAUCUUACCUAUCACUUCACAUCAGCGGCAAAGAUUGAUGUAGCCACCAGUAAUGCCUACCCUAAAGCUGACUUACAGGCGGCUGUGAUGGACAACAACUAUUGCCAAGUGCCAUGAAAAGAAUAAAGCAUGGAUAGAGGGAAUGAUGUUGAGGAACAAACAGCGAAGGACACUGAGUAAGCAAGUUAUAACAAGGAAAGAGCGCAAUCUGACACAAGGAGAGACAAUGGCGGAUCACUGCCUCAAGAUUUGGAGAGAUAAUUGCAGCUACAGAGAAGAAGUAUAUAAACAAACUGUAUGAAUCAUUGUUGUGUCCAAAACCAUUGCAGACACAUGACAGUUGGACCCGGACCUGAUUUCCCCUUUUGGAAUGUGUAUCUCGUGCACAAAUCUGGGCCUAAAGAAAACCUGCAAAUACUUUACUCAGUUAGAAGGCCAGAUGUUCAUUACGAAUCGCCCAUUCUGCUAUUUUGUUGUGUUUACAUUCAAAGAUCUGUUUGUGGGGUUGAUUCAUUCUGACACUGGAUAUUUUUCUACAUGUAUUUUGCCGAGGAUAACUUUUUUUAAUGAAAAACACUAUAGGAAGUACGUGUCAGCUAGUUUAUAGAAAGUACCCCUGUAUGAGAUGGUUUUAGCUGCAAUCACAAUUUUGAAGUGCCAUUUAAAAAAAAAUUUUUAACUAAAAUGAAAUAAUUUGGUGUUGCUAUAUUCUUUACAAAAAGUACUUAUGUGUUUAUGCUGUUUUUAAUAAUAUUUAACUGUAAUGAGAAAAAAGCUAUGUUGCUAUUUUGUAAAGUAUUUUUGGUGGGAUGAAAUAAUUUGAUAGUUGUAUUUACAGCAAAUAAUUUGGUUUUUCUGCUUUUAAAAGAAUUUUCAAAGUGCUGACAUAAUGUGGUGGUUCUAUUCAAGUAAAAUAAUUCAUAAGUACUAUUUUGUAAAAAGGAACAAAAAAACUGUUCAUUUGUAAAAUGUUUGCUUUCUUUAAUUUUUAUUUCUUAAACUGUUACAAAAAGUUUUCCAUACCUACAGUAAUCCAUUGGCUGAGAAAUUGCAGCUAUAUAAUCAGGAAAGUUAUAGCACAAAUAAAUUAUCUAAGUAUUACAUGGUUUCAUGGUUUUUACUAUGGACUGAAUAAUUAUUUUGUUUAAAUAAAACAUUUGGUUUUGCUGCUUUUUAAUGAAUUUUCAGAGCGAUGAAAUAAUAUGGUGUUUCUACUCAAGUAAAACAAUUCAGAAGUGCUAUUUUGUAAAAAAA